RNAcentral lists this transfer-messenger RNA (177 nucleotides) under Klebsiella pneumoniae. RNAcentral describes it as "partial transfer-messenger RNA". It matches the Rfam family "transfer-messenger RNA", at positions 1 to 182 of the family's 374-position model. Rfam says of the family: Bacterial tmRNA, also known as 10Sa RNA or SsrA, is named for its dual tRNA and mRNA-like properties. Its role is to liberate the mRNA from a stalled ribosome. RNAcentral also lists the same sequence under 2 other names. The record is from RNAcentral. Lineage: Bacteria; Pseudomonadati; Pseudomonadota; Gammaproteobacteria; Enterobacterales; Enterobacteriaceae.
GGGGCUGAUUCUGGAUUCGACGGGAUUUGCGAAACCCAAGGUGCAUGCCGAGGGGCGGUUGGCCUCGUAAAAAGCCGCAAAAAAUAGUCGCAAACGACGAAAACUACGCUUUAGCAGCUUAAUAACCUGCUCUGAGCCCUCUCUCCCUAGCUUCCGCUCUUAAGACGGGGAUCAAAG